This 380-nucleotide ribosomal RNA is filed under the name uncultured eukaryote. RNAcentral describes it as "partial 18S ribosomal RNA". It matches the Rfam family "Eukaryotic small subunit ribosomal RNA", at positions 592 to 976 of the family's 1831-position model. The record is from RNAcentral.
CAAUAGCGUAUAUUAAAGUUGUUGCAGUUAAAAAGCUCGUAGUUGGAUUUGUGGCGUACGGUGUGUUCCGGGCACUUGUUGUCUGAGUAACCUGCUGUUGCCAUCCUUGGGUGGAACCUGUGUGGCAUUAGGUUGUCGUGCAGGGGAUGCCCAUCAUUUACUGUGAAAAAAUUAGAGUGUUCAAAGCAGGCUUAUGCCGUUGAAUAUAUUAGCAUGGAAUAAUGAGAUAGGACUUUUUUGCUAUUUUGUUGGUUUGCGCAAAGAGGUAAUGAUUAAUAGGGCCAGUUGGGGGUAUUCGUAUUCCAUUGUCAGAGGUGAAAUUCUUGGAUUUUUGGAAGACGAACUACUGCGAAAGCAUUUACCAAGGAUGUUUUCAUUAA